GAUGAAGAACGUAGCGAAAUGCGAUAAGUAAUGUGAAUUGCAGAAUUCAGUGAAUCAUCGAAUCUUUGAACGCACAUUGCGCCCCCUGGUAUUCCGGGGGGCAUGCCUGUUCGAGCGUCAUUUCACCACUCAAGCCUCGCUUGGUAUUGGGCAACGCGGUCCGCCGCGUGCCUCAAAUCGUCCGGCUGGGUCUUCUGUCCCCUAAGCGUUGUGGAAACUAUUCGCUAAAGGGUGUUUGGGAGGCUACGCCGUAAAACAACCCCAUUUCUAAGGUUGACCUCGGAUCAGGUAGGGAUACCCGCUGAACUUAAGCAUAUCAAUAAGCGGAGGA
Molecule: unclassified non-coding RNA, 331 nt
Filed under: soil metagenome
Description: partial contains 5.8S ribosomal RNA, internal transcribed spacer 2, and large subunit ribosomal RNA
Rfam family: 5.8S ribosomal RNA (bases 1-120)
Source: RNAcentral